CCCUCCCCCACACCUCUCCUUCAUCCACUUAGGUUCAGAUGCUACAACAAAAUUCUACAUGCCUAAGUCAUGGUGAAAAGAAAUGGCAAAGACGAUUCAUGUGUAUGCCAUCGUCACAGGCUACACGGACCCGUAACGGGUGGUAUGAGACAAGGGAAGAAAAAAUUCCCGACGCCCGUCGUGGACGGAGCUGGACACGCGCCAUGGAAAACAGGGCAAAAGCAUAUACGAUUCCACGAUCCGUACACGGACCCAGACACGUACCCAGAACAGGCGGUACGGGGACACGGGAAAAAAAGUUCCCGACGCCCGUCGUGGACGGAGCUGGACACGCGCCAUGGAAAACAGGGCAAAAGCACAGACGAUUCCAUGAUUCGUACACGGACCCAGACACGUACCCAAAACGGGCGGUACGGGGACACAGGAAAAAAAAAGUUCCCGACGCCCGUCGUGGACGGAGCUCCACGCGUGCCAUGGAAAACAGGGCAAAAGCACAGACGAUUCCACGAUCCGUACACGGACCCAGACACGUACCCAGAACGGGCGGUACGGGGACACGGGAAAAAAAGUUCCCGACGCCCGUCGUGGACGGAGCUGGACACGCGCCAUGGAAAACAUGGCAAAAGCAUAUACGAUUCCACGAUCCGUACACGGACCCAGACACGUUCCCAGGACGGGCGGUACGUGGACACGGGAAAAAAAGUUCCCGACCCCCGUCGUGGACGGAGCUGCACGCGUGCCAUGGAAAACAGGGCAAAAGCACAGACGAUUCCACGAUCCGUACACGUACCUGUACACGUACCCAGAACGGGCGGUACGUGGACACGGGAAAAAAAGUUCCCGACGCCCGUCGUGGACGGAGCUGCACGCGUGCCAUGGAAAACAGGGCAAAAGCACAGACGAUUCCACGAUCCGUACAUGGACGCGUACACGUACCCAGAACGGGCCGUACGUGGACACGGGAAAAAAAGUUCCCGACGCCCGUCGUGGACGGAGCUGCACGCGUGCCAUGGAAAACAGGGCAAAAGCACAGACGAUUCCACGAUCCGUACAUGGACGCGUACACGUACCCAGAACGGGCCGUACGUAGACACGGGAAAAAAAGUUCCCGACGCCCGUCGUGGACGAAGCUGCACGCGUGCCAUGGAAAACAGGGCAAAAGCACAGACGAUUCCACGAUCCGUACACGGACCAGUACACGUAUGCAGAACGGGCCGUACGGGGACACGGGAAAAAAAGUUCCCGACGCCCGUCGUGGACGGAGCUGCACGCGUGCCAUGGAAAACAGGGCAAAAGCAAAGACGAUUCCACGAUCCGUACACGGACCAGUACACGUACCCAGAACGGGCCGUACGGGGACACGGGAAAAAAGUUCCCGACGCCCGUCGUGGACGGAUCUGUACGCGUGCCAUGGAAAACAGGGCAAAAGCACAGACGAUUCCAUGAUCCGUACACGGACGCGUGCACGUACCAACAACGUGGACAAGGUGUUCGGGAAAAACGGCCCAUAAUCCAGAGAAACUGCGCCUAGACUAGCUCCCAAAGGGCAAAAACGCUGCCAUGGCAGCCAGAACAUAUGUCAUGGCAAAAAAACCCUGCCACGGCAACGUUUCAAAACAGUGUACCCCUCCUUCACAAACUGAAGGGCACGGUUCCCAUGGGGGGCUAAAACCCUCAGGUACUAUGGGGGAGGAGGGGUCCUCCCGGUUGGGCGUAUGGAACUCGGUUGGUUUUUCGUAUGAAAAACACCCGUUUUCGCGUAGCCCAACUCCUUCCCAACGUUGCCUCGGAUGUCCCGUCGUUAUGCCAUCACGAAGGUGUUGGCUCGGUCCCGUGUACGUCUCGUGAGAAAUCCUGACCCAACAGCCAAACGUGGCUCGGGAAACAGGAAAUUACCCCGUUUCGCACAUGGUCCGACCGACGGUAAACAGUCGCAACACUGUCCCUUGAAUGCCGCCUAAGGAAACCGUUGCUCCCCGGGGGCAACGUCAUCGCUGGCCCGGUCCAUUGCACGUCUCACGUGAAAUUCUGACCCAACAGCCGAAUGCGGCUCGGGAAACAGGAAAGUAGCCUGCUAUGUGCACGAUAAGACCGCUGGACAACGUUGCACCGACGUCCCGCCUUCGGAAAAUCGUUGCACCCAUAACUUUGUUGUUGUGGGAGUGACCCACGCGUGAUUUGGCCUUGCAGGACGCCUUCGUGCAAGUGAUCCUCCCGUGCUUUGCACGGGAGGAGGCUUGGUUGGUUUGACCGCUUGUUGGCUACUAAGCGCAUGAGCAGCUUUGGACCCGUGUCUGCCGGUAGAUCCCCCGUUGUACUGCGGCCGACUACCGGCGCCGUGUCCCGUCAAUUGUGUGACUUUUAAUCGCUGGAUUAAGAGUGCUUGCGUGCUAGUACCCGACCUACGGGAAGUGGUGCUUCGUACAAAAUUUACCUCGCGGCGGACGCCCUUUGGGUGUGCUGCUGUGGCCGAAUAGCUCUUGCGGCGUUGCCUCAUCGUGCCGGCAUGUUAUGUGCCGGUGCUAUCAAGGCAAUCUCGCUCCUGCUAUUGGUCUUGGAUGUUGCUCAUGAUAAAGGGUCGUGGCCCUUCCGGUUGCCUCGACCCGACCCAAAGCUCUCUGAAUUGGGAACAACCGGAACAGGAGUUGCCUCUACCUCUCCACAGUUACGUGGUAGGAUACGCGACUCUCUGCGCCGAUCCUCAAGGACGAUGAGCUAUGCCGCUCAACAGCGACAACCGGCCCGACUAUUGCCUGUGAGUUUCGACGCAAGUGGAAGCGCAGGGCGAUGGCCGACGCUGGGCGUCACCG
Molecule: unclassified non-coding RNA, 2810 nt
Filed under: Triticum urartu
Lineage: Eukaryota; Viridiplantae; Streptophyta; Magnoliopsida; Poales; Poaceae
Description: partial external transcribed spacer
Source: RNAcentral